AAGCGGCUCUUCCCACGUCGGAGUCAGCAUUGACUCUAUUUAUUAUUAUGGUAAAUCAGUGUAUCAAGAUGUUAAUCUGAGAUCUUAUUUUUCGUAUUUCAUUUUCUUCUUCCAAGCCCUUCUUAGAAAGCACUCACUGAGUUACUUACGGAAUCUCAAACCUCUCUCUUUGAUGAAUGUGGUAUCGAGGUUCGGUUCAUUUAUCAGGUCUUUCCUCAGUAGGGAAUAGGUUCAAAGCUGUGCAAGGAACAUAUCUCUUGGUGACUUCAAUGGUCACUCGAGAGCCAGGUAUGUCAACUUUUGAAGCAAUGGUGGCCAAAGCAUCAGGGUGCUUAUUGGCUGCUCGGGGGUAUUUCUCAGUUUUUUUUAAGUUUCUUGUCUGGAUUUGGGGAAAAAGUGGCAACUUGAUGAUCGGCGUACCUUUUGCAUGAUGGGUCAGCGAGGAAAUGGG
This 451-nucleotide long non-coding RNA is filed under the name Panax ginseng (ginseng). Its description in RNAcentral is "long non-coding RNA (PGIN_LNC015683)". The record is from RNAcentral. Lineage: Eukaryota; Viridiplantae; Streptophyta; Magnoliopsida; Apiales; Araliaceae.